AUUACCCAAUUAAUAAUCAUCAAUAAAUAUAAACUUUUAUUCUUAAAAUUUAAUGCAUUUAACUAUCAUCCUCUUACUCAGAACUCUUUCAUCAUUCAAAUCCAUCCAUAAUAUAUUUUUUACUAUUAUUUAAUAAUUUAAUUUAUAUAUUUUUAAAUAAAUUUACAAUAUAAGUAUCAUUACACUAUCUCUAUUUUCCUCUUUAUACAUUCUCUUCCCUAAUAAAAACUUUUAAUUAACUUUUACACAAAUAUUUGACCCAAGCUCAAAAUAAUAUCAUG
RNAcentral lists this long non-coding RNA (281 nucleotides) under Nicotiana benthamiana. Its description in RNAcentral is "long non-coding RNA (NBEN_LNC036953)". The record is from RNAcentral. Lineage: Eukaryota; Viridiplantae; Streptophyta; Magnoliopsida; Solanales; Solanaceae.